Molecule: ribosomal RNA, 983 nt
Filed under: Pteridomonas danica
Lineage: Eukaryota; Dictyochophyceae; Pedinellales
Description: partial Bacterial large subunit ribosomal RNA
Rfam family: Bacterial large subunit ribosomal RNA
Source: RNAcentral
AGUACCCGGAGGAAAAGAAAUCAACCGAGAUUCCCUGAGUAGCGGCGAGCGAAAGGGGACUAGCCCUUAAGCAACUUGUGUUUUAAGAGAACAGUCUGGGAAGGCUGGCCAUAGUGGGUGAUAGCCCCGUAUCUGAAAAGGCACUUGUUGUGAAAUCGAGUAGGUCGGGACACGAGAAAUCUUGACUGAAUAUGGGGGGACCAUCCUCCAAGGCUAAAUACUCCUGAUUGACCGAUAGUGAACCAGUACCGUGAGGGAAAGGCGAAAAGAACCCCGGAGAGGGGAGUGAAAUAGAACCUAAAACCGUGUGCAUACAAGCAGUGGGAGCCGUAAGGUGACUGCGUACCUUUUGUAUAAUGGGUCAGCGACUUACUUUCAGUAGCAAGGUUAACCGUAUAGGGGAGCCGUAGAGAAAUCGAGUCUUAACUGGGCGAUCAGUUGCUGGAAGUAGACCCGAAACCGAGCGAUCUAUCCAUGGCCAGGGUGAAGGUUAGGUAACACUGACUGGAGGCCCGAACCCACAUCUGUUGAAAAAGAUGGGGAUGAGCUGUGGAUCGGAGUGAAAGGCUAAUCAAGCUCGGAGAUAGCUGGUUCUCCUCGAAAGCUAUUUAGGUAGCGCCUCAUGUAUCACCCUCGGGGGUAGAGCACUGUUUCGGCUAGGGGGCCAUCCCGGCUUACCAAACCGAUGCAAACUCCGAAUACCGAGGAGUGCAAUCAUGGGAGACACACGGCGGGUGCUAACGUCCGUCGUGGAAAGGGAAACAACCCAGACCGCCAGCUAAGGUCCCUAAAUCUAGAUUAAGUGGGAAACGAUGUGGGAAGGCAUAGACAGCUAGGAGGUUGGCUUAGAAGCAGCCAUCCUUUAAAGAUAGCGUAACAGCUCACUGGUCUAAAUAAGUUGUCUUGCGGCGAAGAUGUAACGGGGCUCAAGCCAUGAGCCGAAGCUGAGGAUGCACAUAGUGCAUGGUAGCGGAGCGUAGUGU